This 253-nucleotide ribosomal RNA is filed under the name uncultured bacterium. RNAcentral's name for it is "partial 16S ribosomal RNA". It matches the Rfam family "Bacterial small subunit ribosomal RNA", at positions 524 to 776 of the family's 1533-position model. The record is from RNAcentral.
UACGUAGGGUGCGAGCGUUGUCCGGAAUUAUUGGGCGUAAAGGGCUCGUAGGCGGUUUGUCGCGUCGGGAGUGAAAACCUCGGGCUUAACUCGGGGCUUGCUUUCGAUACGAGCAGACUAGAGGUAUGCAGGGGAGAACGGAAUUCCUGGUGUAGCGGUGAAAUGCGCAGAUAUCAGGAGGAACACCGGUGGCGAAGGCGGUUCUCUGGGCAUGAUCUGACGCUGAGGAGCGAAAGUGUGGGGAGCGAACAGG